RNAcentral lists this transfer RNA (94 nucleotides) under Mycobacterium paragordonae. RNAcentral's name for it is "tRNA-Ala". Lineage: Bacteria; Bacillati; Actinomycetota; Actinomycetes; Mycobacteriales; Mycobacteriaceae. The record is from RNAcentral.
CUGGUCGAUGGCGAAGGCGUGCCAGGUCGGGCUGGCGCCCAGACCCGGAUCGGCGAACGUGUUCGUCCGGCGGAUCGGCACCGUUUUGGCCAGG